This 253-nucleotide ribosomal RNA is filed under the name uncultured bacterium. RNAcentral's name for it is "partial 16S ribosomal RNA". It matches the Rfam family "Bacterial small subunit ribosomal RNA", at positions 524 to 776 of the family's 1533-position model. The record is from RNAcentral.
GACAGAGGUGCCAAGCGUUAGGCGGAAUCACUGGGCUUAAAGCGUGUGUAGGCGGACUUCUAAGUACCUUGUGAAAUCCCACGGCUUAACCGUGGAACUGCUCGGUAUACUGGUUGUCUUGAGCCACUUAGGGGCUACCGGAACAAAUGGUGGAGCGGUGAAAUGCGUAGAUAUCAUUUGGAACGCCAAUGGUGAAAACAGGUAGCUGGGAGUGUGCUGACGCUCAUGCACGAAAGCCAGGGGAGCAAACGGG